RNAcentral lists this ribosomal RNA (429 nucleotides) under Bacteroidota bacterium. Its description in RNAcentral is "Bacteroidetes bacterium partial 16S ribosomal RNA". It matches the Rfam family "Bacterial small subunit ribosomal RNA", at positions 355 to 776 of the family's 1533-position model. Lineage: Bacteria; Pseudomonadati; Bacteroidota. The record is from RNAcentral.
UAGGGAAUCUUCCGCAAUGGACGCAAGUCUGACGGAGCAACGCCGCGUGAGUGAAGAAGGAUUUCGGUUCGUAAAACUCUGUUGUUAGAGAAGAACAGCGCAUAGAGUAACUGUUAUGCGUGUGACGGUAUCUAACCAGAAAGCCACGGCUAACUACGUGCCAGCAGCCGCGGUAAUACGUAGGUGGCAAGCGUUGUCCGGAUUUAUUGGGCGUAAAGCGAGCGCAGGCGGUAAAUUAAGUCUGAUGUGAAAGCCCCCGGCUCAACCGGGGAGGGUCAUUGGAAACUGGUUGACUUGAGUGCAGAAGAGGAGAGUGGAAUUCCAUGUGUAGCGGUGAAAUGCGUAGAUAUAUGGAGGAACACCAGUGGCGAAGGCGACUCUCUGGUCUGUAACUGACGCUGAGGUUCGAAAGCGUGGGUAGCAAACAGG